RNAcentral lists this long non-coding RNA (1078 nucleotides) under Zonotrichia albicollis (white-throated sparrow). Its description in RNAcentral is "lncRNA (ENSZALG00000008955.1)". Lineage: Eukaryota; Metazoa; Chordata; Aves; Passeriformes; Passerellidae. The record is from RNAcentral.
CUUCAACAGCUAAGAGGAAUUGCUUUAAAUGAAAUGAAUUAUUUUGAUUUUAGGAACUCUGUUGGACGCUAAAACAAUAGACUCAGUAGCUCAAUAGCAAAAAUAAUUAAAAUGAGUGUCAUCUACAGAGACCUUUUAUUCAGAGAUGAAGGUUAUUUUCCUCUCUCUGCAUUCAGCUGCGCCAGUGGGGCGGAGGAGCCCACGGCGGUCGCCAGGCUGUGCAUGGGGGAAACAGCCACCACGAGAUCCUGCAGCUGCUGUGGCAGAGCCUGCUGCCCAUCACUUGGAAAUAUUGCAGCGCUACCCAAGUAGAUGGGCAUUCCUAUCCAGAACCAAGGCAGAUACUGUGGCCUUUGCAAAAUCUGCCUUCUCAAAUCAGUUGUAUUUCCAAGAAGAAUUGUAUUUUCAACUCAGAUAUCUGUCCCAUCUGCACGUACCUGACUAUGUUCAAUUAGCAACUUUGACUUUGGCUGUCAGUCUUGAGUUUUUAUUCUUUAGAGCCAGAAAGGAAUCAAACUAUGAAACUUCAGAACUGCGCAUCACAAGGACUCCUCUAAACCAAUUGCUGCAGUUUUGAGAUGGGGAAGUACAAUGGCCAAGAACAACACUUCGAAGACAUGCCAGUCACAUCACAUGGGAUAAUCAUAGAUAGGAACUAUUACUUUCAGAGAAGUUUCCAAAGAAUGUCAAUAUUUGUUCAAACCAAACCUUGCUAAUUCUUGAAGCCUCCCAGGAGAGGUGCAACAGUUUACUGUCAGGGAGCAGCAUCUUCCCUGUGCAUCAGAGAUGGAGCUGAGAGUGACACCAGCACAGGGAAGGACAGUGCCCCCUCCUGCAAGGCACAGUGCGCUCAAGGAAGGUGAGCACAGCAGGGCUGGUGACAGAAACAAGUCCUGCCAACCAUUCAAUGAUCAUAAGUAAGGUGACAAAAAACACCAGAAAAUCUGAUCAACCCAGAAAAUCUGAUCAGCAAGGCAAGAAUGCGAGGAAAAAGGCUGGACAGAAGACUAUUUGCAGGAUGGCUCAAGAAAACCUGUGAGAAUGAGACUGAGCCCAUGGGCAGGGAUGUAGGUGGAGG